Molecule: non-coding RNA, 45 nt
Organism: Nelumbo nucifera (sacred lotus)
Lineage: Eukaryota; Viridiplantae; Streptophyta; Magnoliopsida; Proteales; Nelumbonaceae
Source: Rfam
ACAUAGGUGCCAUUAGGCACCACAUUAGCAAAGUGCCAAUUUGUG